AUUGAACGCUGGCGGCAGGCCUAAUACAUGCAAGUCGAACGAGUGGCGGACGGGUGAGUAAUGUCUGGGAAACUGCUAUAAGGAGGGGGAUAACUACUGGAAACGGUAGCUAAUACCGCAUAGCAUCAGCUGUGCGCAGAUGGGGUUAGCUAGUUGGUGGGGUAACGGCUGACCAAGGCCACGAUCCCUAGUUGAUCUGAGAGGAUGACCAGCCACACUGGAACUGAGACACGGUCCAGACUCCUACGGGAGGCAGCAGUGGGGAAUAUUGCGCAAUGGGCGAAAGCCUGAUGCAGCCAUGCCGCGUGUAUGAAGAAGGUCUUCGGGUUGUAAAGUUCUUUCAGCGGGGAAGCGUUACCCACAGAAGAAGCACCGGCUAACUCCGUGCCAGCAGCCACGGUAAUUC
This 406-nucleotide ribosomal RNA is filed under the name uncultured bacterium. Its description in RNAcentral is "partial 16S ribosomal RNA". It matches the Rfam family "Bacterial small subunit ribosomal RNA", at positions 30 to 526 of the family's 1533-position model. The record is from RNAcentral.